CACUUUCUGUUUGUCUUAGGUUUUUAUUGCUGUGAGGAGACACCAUGACUACGGCAUCUCUUAUAAAGGAAAACAUUUGAUUAGGGCUGGCUUACAGGUUCAGAGGUCAUUUCUUAAUCAUCAAGGCAGGAACAUGGCAGUACCCAGACAGGCAUGGCACAGGAGGAGCUGAGGGUUCAACAUAUUGUUCCAAAGGCAAACAGGAGGAGACUGGCUUUCACAUGGUUAGAAAUAGGGUCUCAUUUCCCACCCCAACAGUGACACACUUCCUCCAACAGGACCACAACUACUCCAACAAGGCAAUACCUCCUAAUAGUGCCA
This 321-nucleotide long non-coding RNA is filed under the name Androctonus crassicauda. The record is from RNAcentral. Lineage: Eukaryota; Metazoa; Arthropoda; Arachnida; Scorpiones; Buthidae.